AUACGGAGGAUCCGAGCGUUAUCCGGAUUUAUUGGGUUUAAAGGGAGCGUAGGCGGAUUAUUAAGUCAGUUGUGAAAGUUUGCGGCUCAACCGUAAAAUUGCAGUUGAUACUGGUAGUCUUGAGUGCAGCAGAGGUAGGCGGAAUUCGUGGUGUAGCGGUGAAAUGCUUAGAUAUCACGAAGAACUCCGAUCGCGAAGGCAGCUCACCGGGCCGGAACUGACACUGAUGCUCGAAAGUGCGGGUAUCAAACAGGAUUAGAUACCCUGGUAGUCCGCACAGUAAACGAUGAAUACUCGCUGUUUGCGAUACACGGUAAGCGGCCAAGCGAAAGCGUUAAGUAUUCCACCUGGGGAGUACGCCGGCAACGGUGAAACUCAAAUGAAUUGGCGGGG
This 393-nucleotide ribosomal RNA is filed under the name uncultured bacterium. RNAcentral's name for it is "partial 16S ribosomal RNA". It matches the Rfam family "Bacterial small subunit ribosomal RNA", at positions 523 to 918 of the family's 1533-position model. The record is from RNAcentral.